GGUCCUGUGGUGUAGCGGUAGCACACGCACGAUUAGGCGGAUCUUAAGCGUGGUAAGGCAAGGCAGUAAGUAAGACUGAAAGGCAGGGUCCUGGUUCGAUUCCGGGCUGUGGCCA
Neurospora sp. IMI 360204 is the source of this 115-nucleotide non-coding RNA. NCBI's taxonomy places the organism in Eukaryota, Fungi, Ascomycota, Sordariomycetes, Sordariales, Sordariaceae. The record is from the annotation of a GenBank genome assembly.